Long non-coding RNA from Hibiscus syriacus, 788 nucleotides. RefSeq lists it as uncharacterized. The transcript is spliced from 2 exons. The record is from RefSeq and is a predicted model, not a curated record. NCBI's taxonomy places the organism in Eukaryota, Viridiplantae, Streptophyta, Magnoliopsida, Malvales, Malvaceae.
CGAUCAUAUUCAGUCUUGCUUCUGGUUUUAACUUUUUGUUGCGAAAUUAUUGGAUUGUCGAAAAUGAAAAAUGGGAUGUACCAAUUUUGAGCAAUAAGGCUCCUUUGUAUAUCCCUUCCUUUGAGUGUCGUCUAGGAUAGUAGAUUGUCAAACUUGAGGUCUAAUACUGCUUUUCAUUUUAGAAUAUUUUGCCUCUGCAAACCAUUGUGCAUUUAUUAUUCAACAUAUUCUGUUUUCACUUUGAUAGCGUAUUUUUCUUUUAGAGUUAAGUAUCUUCUCUUGUUCACUUUAUUUGUUAACUGAUCUGGUGGACUUGCUUCUUGUUAAGCUUCCCGCUGGUACCUCAUUUUAUAGAACUGGAGAAGUUAGUGGACAGUUAGAGCGAACAGGAAAACGAGUGAGUUUUCUUUAGGACAUGACUGUAUGAAGGAUAUUUUCCUCCCCUUUUAGAGUUUAUUUUGCAAUAGCAACCAUUUAUUAUUCUUGUUUCAUUCUACCCUACCUAUUCCUACUACAUGAUUGUCUUACUUUUGCUUUGCUUUGCUUUGAGUUCAGGUUGGGCAUGUUUGCUGGGAUGACAAUGAUGUAAUAAAUGGAAAACCAACUGGAGUGGUUGGAGUAUCUAUUGGUUACAUGUCAACUUAUGAAGAUGCUAAGUUGUUACAUGAAAUGGAACAUAGAAGCUUCCAACAUAAAUGAUACUAAUCUAUGAGAAGGUCCUUUGUAUCCAUACCAAGUGAGUUCGAGAAAGGGUACCUGCUCAGAUCAAAGUCAAUUCUAUACCAAAA